This is a transfer RNA of Nomascus leucogenys (northern white-cheeked gibbon), 89 nucleotides long. It matches the Rfam family "tRNA". From Rfam's summary of the family: Transfer RNA (tRNA) molecules are approximately 80 nucleotides in length. The record is from Rfam. Lineage: Eukaryota; Metazoa; Chordata; Mammalia; Primates; Hylobatidae.
CCUUCGAGAGCUCAGCUGGUAGAGCGGAGGACUGUAGGGGUUUGAAUAUAGUCAUCCUUAGGUCGCUGGUUCGAAUCCGGCUCGGAGGA